Molecule: small nucleolar RNA, 106 nt
Organism: Humulus lupulus (European hop)
Lineage: Eukaryota; Viridiplantae; Streptophyta; Magnoliopsida; Rosales; Cannabaceae
Source: RefSeq, a predicted model, not a curated record
AUACCAUGGUGGGGACACUUCCUCAUCAAUUCCUUGAAUCUCUCCCAAGCAUCACACACAGAUUCAUCUACGAAUUGCUUAAAAGAAAUAAUCUCGUUCUAAAACU